This 465-nucleotide ribosomal RNA is filed under the name uncultured bacterium. Its description in RNAcentral is "partial 16S ribosomal RNA". It matches the Rfam family "Bacterial small subunit ribosomal RNA", at positions 28 to 507 of the family's 1533-position model. The record is from RNAcentral.
GACGAACGCUGGCGGCGCGCUUAACACAUGCAAGUCGAACGGUGAACUCCGCUUGCGGGGGGAUCAGUGGCGAACGGGUGAGUAACACGUGGGCAACCUGCCCUCAGCUCUGGGAUAACUCCAAGAAAUUGGGGCUAAUACCGGAUAUGACCGCUGACCGCAUGGUCUGGUGGUGGAAAGAUUUAUCGGCUGGGGAUGGGCCCGCGGCCUAUCAGCUUGUUGGUGGGGUAGUGGCCUACCAAGGCGACGACGGGUAGCCGGCCUGAGAGGGUGACCGGCCACACUGGGACUGAGACACGGCCCAGACUCCUACGGGAGGCAGCAGUGGGGAAUAUUGCGCAAUGGGCGAAAGCCUGACGCAGCGACGCCGCGUGGGGGAUGACGGCCUUCGGGUUGUAAACCUCUUUCAGCAGGGACGAAGCGAAAGUGACGGUACCUGCAGAAGAAGCACCGGCCAACUACGUG